Molecule: long non-coding RNA, 1314 nt
Organism: Teleopsis dalmanni
Lineage: Eukaryota; Metazoa; Arthropoda; Insecta; Diptera; Diopsidae
Exons: 4
Source: RefSeq, a predicted model, not a curated record
GUUUCAUCUUUAUUUGAAAAUUAUAUGAGACAUAGAAUUUAGCUGAUACUUGGAUUAUUUUAACUAUAUUUAUUAAAUUUUAUACAAAAUUUGCUUGAGUUGCGGAAGAAAAAGUUUGACAUCAAAUUUUGAUGUCAAAUUUUGAAUUUAAUCAACUGUUGGGACUACUUAAGAUCUGUCUAACUGAAUUAAGAGGACUACCCUAAGUAUAAAAAUUGACAUGCAGAAGAAUUGGGAACUAUGUAUGUGCAUUUGUAUCAUUCAGUUCUACCAUAUUUAAUGAAUAUUUAAAGAUUAACAAAUUUGACGUAAUUAAUCAAAUUUUGGUAUCAAAAGACUGAAUUUAAUUACCUAUUGGGAUUACUCGAGCUCUGCUGUUAAAAUAAAGCUAAUGUUCUACUCAAUUUGCAAUAGUUUUUAUAUUCUUCAGUAAAUUUGGAUUAAGAGGACUAUCCUUAGCAUAAAAAUUGAUAGUCUGAAGAAUUAGAAACUAUACAAAUUCGUGCCUUUCUGUGGUGCUAUAUUUACUGCAGAAAUCUGACAUAACUAAUCAAAUUUUGGUACCAAAAGACUAAAUUAAAUCGAGUAUCAGUACAUACAAUCCGGACUACUUGAGAACUGAUCGCUUAAGAAGACUACUCUAAGCAUUCAAGGUAACACUCUAAAGGAUUGGAAGCUUUGAAGUUGUAUCUUUCUUUAGUAUCUUUAAGAAAAUUUGCAAUUAUGGUCUGCGUUAGAAAGGUUGCACUUGUCAUUCUGUUGAUUGUGGUCAUUUUUGUCAAAUUAUAUACAUUUGGAGUUUUUUCCUUCUUGGACAAGAAAAAUAAAAAUCCUGCUCAUGUUUCAAAGUUUAUGAGUGUCUAUAACCAUGUAAUGAUUGCAAAAUGGGGUCUACUCAUCAUCAUCUCAUUGUACCUACUAAUGCGUCGUACUGUAAAGGACCUAUAUAACAUUCGUAUUAUUCCUCGACAAUUUCAAGUCCAUAUGAUAGUUGCCGAAAUUAGUAAGGGCUUAUCCUUUACUUCAAUGGAACUAAUAAAAAUUAAGGAGCAUGUUGAACUCGAUCGUAUUGUUGAUCUACUCCUUAUAAGAAACAAAAUUAACGGCCCAUUUAAUUAUGCGGAGGAAGCAAAUUAUAUUGCAACAAAUGAAGGUAUUCAGACUUAUUGUAACGUUGUUAGAUAUCUAUUCUUAAACAAAAGGAUUUAAUAUGAAUAAAAUCUGGAUGGGUAGAAUAGAUUACUUUAGCGAGAUCACUAUACAUCUUCAAGGAGCUAUAAAUUCAUUGUAUCAAUUCAUUAUAAUAAAAUAUUC